UGAGGAAUAUUGGUCAAUGGGCGCAAGCCUGAACCAGCCAUCCCGCGUGAAGGAAGAAUGCGCUACGCGUUGUAAACUUCUUUUCCAGGGGGAGAAUUUUCCUGUCGAGACAGGGAUUGACGGUACCCUGGGAAUAAGCAUCGGCUAACUCCGUGCCAGCAGCCGCGGUAAUACGGAGGAUGCGAGCGUUAUCCGGAUUUAUUGGGUUUAAAGGGUGCGUAGGCGGAUUGAUAAGUCAGUGGUGAAAUUCUGCAGCUUAACUGUAGACUUGCCGUUGAUACUGUUAGUCUUGAGUGUGGUCAAGGCAGGCGGAAUGUGUAAUGUAGCGGUGAAAUGCUUAGAUAUUACACAGAACACCGAUUGCGAAGGCAGCUUGCUGGGUCAUUACUGACGCUGAUGCACGAAAGCGUGGGGAUCAAACAGG
Molecule: ribosomal RNA, 424 nt
Filed under: uncultured bacterium
Lineage: Bacteria
Description: bacterial SSU rRNA
Rfam family: Bacterial small subunit ribosomal RNA
Source: RNAcentral